UGCAGUCGAGCGAAUGGAUUGAGAGCUUGCUCUCAAGAAGUUAGCGGCGGACGGGUGAGUAACACGUGGGUAACCUGCCCAUAAGACUGGGAUAACUCCGGGAAACCGGGGCUAAUACCGGAUAACAUUUUGAACUGCAUGGUUCGAAAUUGAAAGGCGGCUUCGGCUGUCACUUAUGGAUGGACCCGCGUCGCAUUAGCUAGUUGGUGAGGUAACGGCUCACCAAGGCAACGAUGCGUAGCCGACCUGAGAGGGUGAUCGGCCACACUGGGACUGAGACACGGCCCAGACUCAUACGGGAGGCAGCAGUAGGGAAUCUUCCGCAAUGGACGAAAGUCUGACGGAGCAACGCCGCGUGAGUGAUGAAGGCUUUCGGGUCGUAAAACUCUGUUGUUAGGGAAGAACAAGUGCUAGUUGAAUAAGCUGGCACCUUGACGGUACCUAACCAGAAAGCCACGGCUAACUACGUGCCAGCAGCCGCGGUAAUACGUAGGUGGCAAGCGUUAUCCGGAAUUAUUGGGCGUAAAGCGCGCGCAGGUGGUUUCUUAAGUCUGAUGUGAAAGCCCACGGCUCAACCGUGGAGGGUCAUUGGAAACUGGGAGACUUGAGUGCAGAAGAGGAAAGUGGAAUUCCAUGUGUAGCGGUGAAAU
RNAcentral lists this ribosomal RNA (650 nucleotides) under uncultured bacterium. Its description in RNAcentral is "bacterial SSU rRNA". It matches the Rfam family "Bacterial small subunit ribosomal RNA", at positions 56 to 687 of the family's 1533-position model. The record is from RNAcentral.